AUGCAGCGCCGGCUCCCGGCGCUCCUCCGCCGCGCGGCGGGCGCGGGGCCCGCGCGCCGGUGGCUCUCCGCCUCGUCCUCCCUCCUCUUCGACGACACCCAGGAGCAGUUCAAGGAGAGCGUGCACCGGUUCGCGCAGGAGCACAUCGCGCCGCACGCCGCCGCCAUCGACGCCUCCAACCACUUCCCCAAGGAGAAGAAUCUGUGGAAGCUCAUGGGGGACUUCAACCUGCACGGCCUCACCUCGCCAGAGGAGUACGGAGGGCUCGGGCUCGGUUACAUGUACCACUGCAUCGCCAUGGAGGAGAUCAGCAGGGCGUCCGGGUCGGUCGGCCUUUCCUACGGUGCACACUCAAAUCUCUGCAUCAACCAGCUGGUCCGUCAUGGCAGCCCUGCCCAAAAGGAAAAGUAUUUGCCGAAGCUUAUCAGUGGGGAGCAUAUUGGGGCAUUGGCGAUGAGUGAACCAAACUCUGGCUCUGAUGUUGUCAGUAUGAAGUGCAAAGCUGAGAAAGUAGAUGGCGGCUAUGUCAUUAACGGGAACAAGAUGUGGUGCACAAAUGGUCCGUCUGCUCAGACAUUGGUUGUUUACGCGAAAACAGAUAUAACUGCUGGAUCGAAAGGAAUAACUGCAUUCAUAAUUGAGAAGGGAAUGCCCGGGUUCAGUACUGCCCAGAAGUUGGACAAACUUGGCAUGCGAGGAAGUGACACAUGUGAGCUUGUCUUUGAGAACUGCUUUGUGCCUCAAGAGAAUGUUCUUGGUGAAGAAGGGAAAGGUGUUUAUGUCAUGAUGUCUGGUCUUGAUCUGGAAAGACUUGUAUUAGCUGGGGGCCCUAUUGGGCUCAUGCAGGCAUGCCUUGAUGUUGUUCUUCCUUAUGUUCGACAAAGGGAGCAAUUUGGCCGUCCGAUUGGUGAAUUUCAGUUCUUACAGGGGAAAAUGGCAGAUAUGUACACCUCCUUGCAAUCAUCAAGAUCAUUUGUAUACUCAGUUGCCAGGGACUGUGAUAAUGGCAAAGUUGACCGUAAGGAUUGUGCAGGAGUGAUCCUCUUUGCUGCUGAAAGGGCAACACAAGUUGCACUUGAGGCAAUCCAGUGUCUUGGUGGCAAUGGAUACAUAAAUGAGUACCCAACUGGCCGUCUCCUGAGAGAUGCAAAACUGUUUGAGAUUGGAGCUGGCACUAGUGAGAUCAGAAGAAUGAUAAUUGGUCGUGAACUGUUCAAAGAGGACUGA
RNAcentral lists this ribosomal RNA (1227 nucleotides) under Triticum aestivum (bread wheat). RNAcentral describes it as "partial small subunit ribosomal RNA". The record is from RNAcentral. Lineage: Eukaryota; Viridiplantae; Streptophyta; Magnoliopsida; Poales; Poaceae.